UGAACAGGGUGGAAAGACAACAUAUAGCGAUCCAUCAACCCUUCUUGCAGAACAUCCCAGCUUUGUUUCAUGAAUGAAAGCCGUUUAUUUAAACAGACGCGUGUUAAGACGUUUGCCGCUUUGACAUUCAUUUGAAGACUAACUUGUUUCUGGGUUGAAUUAGUUUUGUAAAAGGCAAGGUUUUGUUUACGUCCCAACAGGUUGGUCGAGUCGGCUUCCUGUUUGAGAUGCAGGACUCUACCGCUCGCCGCGGAGUUCAUUCGAUGUGAAGGUUUAUUCUGAAUCCCUGUGGCAGGCUACUAGCUGGCCUCAAGCAAAUCAAUAUAUUCAAUCAAAAGAUCUCCCACGAGGAAGCUGGAUGAGCGAGAAAGUUGAGGAAGGGGGCACGGUUUCUGUCUGCUCUGGCCGUCGGCCCACAGUGAUGCAACAGUUGGAGCACGUACAAGUCAAUCAACAGCAAACAUGAGGGAGAGACCAGUGCUGUGGGUUUGGCGAGACUAAUUGUGAACUAAAAUAAACAUGUCACUUACACCUUUCACAUCGUCACGCAUUUAUUGAAAACCAGACAGGGUGUGUGUGGGUCUAUGAUGCCAAGUAGAUGACAAGCAUGUGUUUGUGUCUAAGGGUUGUAUUUGUUUAUAUAUAAUAUGGAUUUCUUUAUUAAAAUGUGGGUGUAAAUAAAAGCUGUGCCCCGAGGCAGGUUUUUAAUUGGAUUUGAGAUAGAGAAUGUUAGUAAUAAGAUAAAGAUGUGCUUCUAAAAAUAUCUAAAACUGUUUAAAACUGUAUUAAAUAUAUAUUACAGUAUAUAUACAGUACAGACCAAAAGUUUGGACACACUGUCUCAUUCAAAGAGUUUUCUUUAUUUUCAUGACUAUGAAAAUUGUAGAGUCACACUGAAGGCAUCAAGGGCUAUUUGACCAAGAAGGAGAGUGAUGGGGUGCUGCGCCAGAUGACCUGGCCUCCACAGUCACCGGACCUGAACCCAAUCCAGAUGGUUUAGGGGUGAGCUGGACCGCAGACAGAAGGCAAAAGGGCCAACAAGUGCUAAGCAUCUCUCGGGGAACUCCUUCAAGACUGUUGGAAGACCAUUUCAGGUGACUACCUCUUGAAGCUCAUCAAGAGAAUGCCAAGAGUGUGCAAAGCAGUAAUCAAAACAAAAGAUGGCUAGUUUGAAGAACCUAGAAUAUGACAUAUUUUCAGUUGUUUCACACUUUUUUUGGUAUGUAUAUAAUUCCAUAUAUAAUUCCACAUGUGUAAAUUCAUAGUUUUGAUGCCUCAUAGUCAUGAAAAUAAAGAAAACUCUUUGAAUGAGAAGGUGUGUCCAAACUUUUGGUCUGUAC
Molecule: long non-coding RNA, 1340 nt
Filed under: Carassius auratus (goldfish)
Lineage: Eukaryota; Metazoa; Chordata; Actinopteri; Cypriniformes; Cyprinidae
Description: lncRNA (ENSCARG00000026154.1)
Source: RNAcentral